RNAcentral lists this transfer-messenger RNA (355 nucleotides) under Candidatus Yanofskyibacteriota bacterium. Its description in RNAcentral is "Candidatus Yanofskybacteria bacterium transfer-messenger RNA". It matches the Rfam family "transfer-messenger RNA". Rfam says of the family: Bacterial tmRNA, also known as 10Sa RNA or SsrA, is named for its dual tRNA and mRNA-like properties. Its role is to liberate the mRNA from a stalled ribosome. Lineage: Bacteria; Candidatus Yanofskyibacteriota. RNAcentral also lists the same sequence under 1 other name. The record is from RNAcentral.
GGGUCUGACCGGCUUCGAUAGAAUUUCUUUUAAAAUUUGCGCAAGUAGUGGAUGGGUAGUCACCACUUUAAGUACCUACCCAAAAUUAUAAUUGCCAACUACAAUAGCAAUUACGCUUUAGCUUACGCUUAAGGCGCAUCCUCUCGGUGAUUUCUGCUAGCCGAAUCAGGGUGUCAUUAGCAGGAUAAGAUUGUAGCGUUUUUUAAAUGUUUCGGCGUUACGAUUCGAAAAAUACAAAACAGGUUUUCGGUUAUUCUGUCGGGCUUUUAACCGAGGACUAAACAGUCCGGCUAAACUUGUAGUGCAAUUUUAAAUCAACUUCUAGACGGGAGUUCAACUCUCCCCAGAUCCACGG